UACGGGGGGGGCAAGCGUUGUUCGGAAUUACUGGGCGUAAAGGGCUCGUAGGCGGCCAACUAAGUCAGACGUGAAAUCCCUCGGCUUAACCGGGGAACUGCGUCUGAUACUGGUUGGCUUGAAUCCGGGAGAGGGAUGUGGAAUUCCAGGUGUAGCGGUGAAAUGCGUAGAUAUCUGGAGGAACACCGGUGGCGAAGGCGGCAUCCUGGACCGGUAUUGACGCUGAGGAGCGAAAGCGUGGGGAGCAAACAGG
Molecule: ribosomal RNA, 253 nt
Filed under: uncultured bacterium
Lineage: Bacteria
Description: partial 16S ribosomal RNA
Rfam family: Bacterial small subunit ribosomal RNA
Source: RNAcentral